UGUCUUUUAAAUCAACUCACUUUUUAAUUUUUUGGCAAAUUUGGCAUCAUUUCAUAUAUGAAUAAAUCUAGUAUCACUUGCCUUAUUUAGCAGGUGUGUUAGUCAGGAAAGGCUAAGCAAUGCUGCAAUAACGACCAGUCCCAAGAGUCCGGAGGUUUAAUAUAUAAUCAAUGUUUCAUAUUCAGUGUCCACUUAGAGAGUUGGGUAGAGGGAGGUGAGGCCAUUUUAGGACAUGUGGCCUCCUUGGUCACUGAACAGCAGAUGAGAACAUUAGAGGGUGAUUCACUGGUUUUUAAAUCAUGUACCCAGAACCCAAUGGCCAAGAUUAGUCACAUGAUCCUGCCUAAGGGCACCAGGACCAGGAGAUGUGGAGGUGCACCAACAGAUGUCUGUGCUGCAGAGGGUGACCACAGAGUCAAUCAGACAAUGUGACUAAGUUCUCCCCAGAAAGCUUUAUGAGAACGCUCUGGGCCAGAACAUUAAGAAAGAAGAAAUAGCAAGAGACACAAAUACGUUCAAGACGUGCGUAGCCCCAAGCUGAAACUUUCUCCUUGACCCGCAUGAAAGGAUUUAGGAAAGCAUCAAAACGGAAAUGACUUCCUCACCGUGUGACUCAGGGUGAUUUAAUGUGUGUCCCUGAUUCAAUUUAAAAAUACCUUCAAGAAAACCCAAACCAUGGAAAGAGUGUCUCUGCAGCAAAACGGAAACCAGACAAGGAUGACAGAUGUGUUAAGAAUCCCCGGGAGGAUGUGCUGUGCUGCUAUGAGAAGAUGGCUUCCCUCUCUGUGCCCUUCCUCCCCAUCAUUCCAGUCUAAUCGGGAGAAAAACAUUCCAACAGUUUCCUACUGAGGGACAUUCUACAAAACAAAGGGUUUCUAAGAGACUCUCACAGCCUUCCUAAGAGACUGGAGGACCAAAUGCCAUACGGGUCCUGGACAACAGGUAAAAACUAAGGAGGGCUGAAGAAAGCACGCCUGUGGUGUAACUCUGUCUCCACACUGGUUUGUUAACUGUGACCUGUGAACAAAGCAGAAGCUGAAUUUCCUCCCAUGGUCCAGCUCCGAGGUCCCACGCAUCACCUCUGCCAUGUUCUGUUGGCUGAAGCAGCCACAGCCUGCCGAGCUCAGGGGAGGCAUGGAGGCUGCACCUUUCACGGGGAGGCCCUGUCCAGGGUUCCUGGCCAUCUUUAACUCUGCGCUGACCUGUGAUGUGAGCUCGUGGUUCCUGCUGGGAAAAAAAAGUCGCAGGAGGCAUGGUCUGGACUAAGUUCUUCACCAGGCACCAACCCACCGGGCUAAAAAUCAACGUGGAGCCACUCACGCCCCAGUUCAGCUCUCCAGGCUGAAAGGAAGCUCUCCUCUGAUCUCAUGAGAAUCAAGGUUCCCAACAGCCCAGUUUCACUGGCACCAUGAUGCAGUCCCUCUGCUUUAAUCCUGAUGUCCACCACCAGCGGCUGGGGUCUCCUCUCCCCAUCUCAGCUGGCAGGACAGCAGCUUUGACACACAGUGACCAACCACUCUUUGCUAUUUGCUUCUGCUUUCUCCAGCCUUUCUCUCUAUAAAACCAAACUCCUCCUCAGAACAUGUGUUCUAUCUUAGGGAAGGAAGAGUGGCCCAAUUCUAAAUGGCAGAUGAAGCCAACGAAGGUCUUUAAACGAAUUUGUUCUGAUUUCAUCUUGAGACAUUCCCCUUACGUCACCUGCCGGAACAACGCUCGCAGGUAUUGCUAUUUCUGACUCUUUUAUUAAGUAUCCCUGUACCUGGCUUCUCCUCCACACUGUGAACUCCUCACACCUGCGGUGAUGUUGCUCUUCUCUCCCAAACUCCACGUGGCCUCAGCUUCCCGGCCCAUCCCCAGGGCUCUCCCAGGUCCUCUUCCAACCUUCGUAGCCUCUGUGCUGUGCCUUUAGACGCCCAGUGAAUGUCCUUCUGUUCCCUUGGCCGGAGUCUUUCUUCCCACAGAUGAGCACGUGGCUCAGGCUCUCCCUGCCUCAGUCUCUGCUCAGGUGUCACCUUAUCAGAGAGGUUUUGAGCGUCCUGUGUAGUGAGUGCAGUUCCCCGACCCCACCUGACACGACUGACCUGCCUUCCCACCUUAUUUAUAAUAUGGCCAGCCUCCAUUAUCUAAGGGUUCUGUUUGGUUUUGGUACCAGGGAUGGAACCCAGGGGCACUUAACCACUGAGCCACAUCCUCAACUCUUUUUAUAUCUUAUUUUAAGACAGGGUCUCACUGAGUUGCUUAGGGCCUUGCUAAGUUGCUGAGACUGGCUUUGAACUCGUGAUCCUCCUGCCUCAGCCUCCCAAAUUGCUGGGAUUACAGGCAUGUGUCACCACUUCCGGCCCCCUAUCUAUGGGUUCUGCGUGCACAAACCAACCUCAGGUAGAAAACCUCAUGAAGGAGGUUUUCAGGGGGAAAAUAAUUGCAUCCAUACUGAACAAAUUCUUUUCGUGUUGUUAUUCCCUGAGCAAUGUAGAAUAAUAACUCUUUGCAUAACAUUUACAUUGCAUUGGGUGUUUUAAGUAAUCUAGAAACGAUUUAAAAUAUGCUGGAGGGGUGUAUAAGGAGUAUGCAAGUCCUACACCAUUUUAUAUAAAGAACUAGGGCAACAUGGAUUUUGGUAUCUGGUGAAGGGGGUCCCUGGAACCAAUCUCCCGCAGAUACCAAGAGAUGACUGUGUAGAUAAUUAUACAUAUAAUUAUGAUUUUUUUAAAAAUUCUGUUUCCCGGGCUGCAGGUGUAGCUCAGUGGUAGAGUGCUUGCCUGGCUUGUGAGAAGCACUGGGUUCCAUCCUCAGCACCACAUAUAAGUAAAUAAAUAAAAUAAAGUUCCAUUGACAACUAAAAAAAAAUUUUUUUUAACUUUCUGUUUCCAUUGCCAGAAUGUGGGCAGGGAUGUGUCUGUUUGCUCACUGUGAUCAUAGCAAAAUUUGUCAUGACUCUUCAACUUCUCUGUAGCUAAGAUUCUUGCGUUGUGACUUCGCGUCUCUGCUCUUCAGCAGUGGAUUCUCUUUUAACAUUGUGCUAGAGUUUGGAUCCUGAAUAUUCCCAGUGGCACAUGUGUUGAAGGGUUAGUCCUAGUUUGGGCUACUGAGAGUCAUGGAACAGUUAGGAGGUGGGGCCUAGAGGGACAUCUUUGAGUUACUGGGGAGGGGCGUGUCCUCAAAAGGGAUGCUGGAACCCCAGCUCUUCCUCUUUCUUUCUCUUGACUUCCUGGCUGGCCUGACGUGAGCAUCGCUGCUGCACCAGGUGCUUCCCCGCCAUAGCGUGCUCCCUCACCACAGGCCCCAAGGCAACAGGGCUGACUGACCAUGGACUUAAACCUCUCAAAAUGUAAGCCAAAACAAACCCUUCUUUCUAAGAGUUGAUUCAUUUCAGGUAUUUGCACAGUGGUGGAAAGUUGGCUAACACACCCUUGUGACUUGUCCGUCCAGUAGAAUGUGAUUUGAUUUAGCCAACAGAAGUAGUUCAAAUCAUGGAUGAGUUAAGAGGCAUAUAGCACCUGUUCCUUCUUUGAAAUCCUGCCACACUUAUGUGAACACGUCCGUCGGGUGAUAACAGGCUCAUGACUCAUCGCCUUAGCCAACAACUAGCUGGCCACUCAUGUGAGCAAGUCCCACCAAGAUCAGCCAAGCCUGCCACAAAGGUGAUCUGUAGAUUUAUUGUUUUAAACCAUUGAGUUUGGGAAUGGUUUGUUACCCAGCAUCACCUGUGGUCCUAGAUAACUGAUACAAACACUUAGCCCCAUUCCUGGUAUAGAAUCAUGCUCAAUAAAAAUUUGCAACACAGAUGAAUCAAUGAAUGAGGAGAAGGAAUACAUUCACCUAAUUGGUCAUUAUUACUCCAACACCAUAUACAGUCUUUGAUAAAUAUUUGUUGAAUG
Molecule: long non-coding RNA, 3878 nt
Filed under: Marmota monax (woodchuck)
Lineage: Eukaryota; Metazoa; Chordata; Mammalia; Rodentia; Sciuridae
Rfam family: tRNA (bases 2733-2797)
Source: RNAcentral